Molecule: long non-coding RNA, 1240 nt
Filed under: Equus asinus (donkey)
Lineage: Eukaryota; Metazoa; Chordata; Mammalia; Perissodactyla; Equidae
Description: lncRNA (ENSEASG00005027706.1)
Source: RNAcentral
AGCAGACAGGGCCUCCCGUUGAGACAUUUGUGACUUGGGGCUGGGAUGGCAGAGCUGAAGCAGAGAGCGGGCACAGCCUGGGGCGCAGGGAAGGCUCUGCAGAGGAGCCACAUUUGCCAAUGGAACUUGAAGGCAAGGGAGUGCCCACCAUCUAGGGAAUUGGCUGUGUGCUUGGUGCUGGUUGUGCAGCCCCUGGGUCCAUCCUCUGGGAUCCUUGGACCUGACUCACCGUAGACCAGCAAUACGACCUUGGCCAAGUCUCCUUCCAUUUGGACUCUGGAUCCCACUUGCAGAGGCGGCUCCCCAAAUGCAUGUUGUCAGUGGGCCAACCGGCCAAGCGAGGUCGUCUUGUGUUCCAGCAGAGACCCUCCUAUCCUACCACGAGGCUCUGUGUCUGAUGGCCAAUGAGAAGGUGAUGGUGAUGGAUUGUGGCCCCUGCCCCAGCCCCACUAGGAGGGUACACAGACACCACAAUGAGCACAGAAUGGGGACCUGGGGGUACUCUGGAGGACUUCCUGGAAGAAGCUACAUAUCUGAGAGAUCAGGGACAGAGCGGGUGCUGAUGGGGGAGUUCAGGCCAGCUUGUGCUUCACACCCAGGAGGCUCUGGAGACCUCCCCAAGCACGGGCCAGCGGUGUCCCAGGCCCGGGGGCCUCAGCCUGAAGGAGGCAGAUUGUUGGGGGUCCACGCACAGCCUACAGGACACAUCGACCCCCAGGGGUGUACCCUGUAGAGGGAGGAGGCAGAUGGGGACAGAGAAACGCAAAACCUAGUAAGUCUUUCAGUUUUCAGUGUUCCAAAGGCGAUGAAGCAGGGUGAAACGGUCGAUAGUGGACAGGGGUCCAAAGAGACGAGGGAAAGAACGUCAUGAAUUGAAUCCGAGAAUGACCAAUACAUUUCCACCGCUUGCUAACUCUGAUGAGGCCACUGGUGAAGCGGUUAGGAGCCAAGGUCCUGAGCCUGUCGGCCUGUGUCCACGUCCCAGCCCCGUCACGUGCAAGUCACCCCACGUCCUUGUGCCUUGUCGUCACUCCUCGUCCGUGAAGUGGGGUGACCGUGGUACCCGUCUCUCAGGGGCGUGGAUGUGGGUAUAUCCUGCUGCAAUCGCUUAGAACGAGCUCCGGCGUGUGCCAAGUGACUCAGCGCUGCUGUGUUGUGCCUGUUGUUGGUGCCCUGGGUUAAGAAGGAUUCUGAGGCCUUGUGGGGCUCACUGGGGCCACCGCUCAGGAGGAGCAGGGGG